AAGUAUGGCCCUGUGUGUGGCCUCUAGAAGGACCUUAUGGCUUCAUUCACGGUGAGCCAACUAUGCCUCCAAGGCAUCUUUGUGUGGCCUUCCAUUCCAGGGGGAUUUAUUAUUCGGUAAGAUUCUGGAGGACGCCAUACAAAAGGCUGCAGAUGGCAAAAAAAGUUUUUUUGCCGCAAGAAAGAAGAAAGGCUUUUCCUCUUCCUGGAAGACUAA
Pelobates cultripes (western spadefoot toad) is the source of this 216-nucleotide non-coding RNA. NCBI's taxonomy places the organism in Eukaryota, Metazoa, Chordata, Amphibia, Anura, Pelobatidae. The record is from the annotation of a GenBank genome assembly.